Molecule: ribosomal RNA, 1325 nt
Filed under: Yersinia enterocolitica
Lineage: Bacteria; Pseudomonadati; Pseudomonadota; Gammaproteobacteria; Enterobacterales; Yersiniaceae
Description: partial 23S ribosomal RNA
Rfam family: Bacterial large subunit ribosomal RNA
Source: RNAcentral
GGUUAAGCGACUAAGCGUACACGGUGGAUGCCUAGGCAGUCAGAGGCGAUGAAGGGCGUGCUAAUCUGCGAAAAGCGUCGGUAAGGUGAUAUGAACCGUUACAACCGACGAUACCCGAAUGGGGAAACCCAGUGCAAUUCGUUGCACUAUUGCAUGGUGAAUACAUAGCCAUGCAAGGCGAACCGGGGGAACUGAAACAUCUAAGUACCCCGAGGAAAAGAAAUCAACCGAGAUUCCCCCAGUAGCGGCGAGCGAACGGGGAGGAGCCCAGAACCUGAAUCAGCGUAUGUGUUAGUGGAAGCGUCUGGAAAGUCGCACGGUACAGGGUGAUAGUCCCGUACACAAAAAUGCAUAUGUUGUGAGUUCGAUGAGUAGGGCGGGACACGUGACAUCCUGUCUGAAUAUGGGGGGACCAUCCUCCAAGGCUAAAUACUCCUGACUGACCGAUAGUGAACCAGUACCGUGAGGGAAAGGCGAAAAGAACCCCGGCGAGGGGAGUGAAAUAGAACCUGAAACCGUGUACGUACAAGCAGUGGGAGCACCUUCGUGGUGUGACUGCGUACCUUUUGUAUAAUGGGUCAGCGACUUAUAUUUUGUAGCAAGGUUAACCGAAUAGGGGAGCCGUAGGGAAACCGAGUCUUAACUGGGCGAAUAGUUGCAAGGUAUAGACCCGAAACCCGGUGAUCUAGCCAUGGGCAGGUUGAAGGUUGGGUAACACUAACUGGAGGACCGAACCGACUAAUGUUGAAAAAUUAGCGGAUGACUUGUGGCUGGGGGUGAAAGGCCAAUCAAACCGGGAGAUAGCUGGUUCUCCCCGAAAGCUAUUUAGGUAGCGCCUCGUGAACUCAUCUUCGGGGGUAGAGCACUGUUUCGGCUAGGGGGUCAUCCCGACUUACCAAACCGAUGCAAACUCCGAAUACCGAAGAAUGUUAUCACGGGAGACACACGGCGGGUGCUAACGUCCGUCGUGAAGAGGGAAACAACCCAGACCGCCAGCUAAGGUCCCAAAGUCAUGGUUAAGUGGGAAACGAUGUGGGAAGGCAUAGACAGCCAGGAUGUUGGCUUAGAAGCAGCCAUCAUUUAAAGAAAGCGUAAUAGCUCACUGGUCGAGUCGGCCUGCGCGGAAGAUGUAACGGGGCUAAACCAUGCACCGAAGCUGCGGCAGCGACACUUAGGUGUUGUUGGGUAGGGGAGCGUUCUGUAAGCCGUUGAAGGUGACCUGUGAGGGUUGCUGGAGGUAUCAGAAGUGCGAAUGCUGACAUAAGUAACGAUAAUGCGGGUGAAAAACCCGCACGCCGGAAGACCAAGGGUUCCUGUCCAACGUU